UACAGAGGGUGCAAGCGUUAAUCGGAAUCACUGGGCGUAAAGCGUGCGUAGGUGGUCAUGCAAGUCGGAUGUGAAAUCCCCGGGCUUAACCUGGGAACUGCAUUCGAUACUACAUGGCUAGAGUAUGGUAGAGGGAAGUGGAAUUUCCGGUGUAGCGGUGAAAUGCGUAGAUAUCGGAAGGAACACCAAUGGCGAAGGCAGCUUCCUGGACCAAUACUGACACUGAGGCACGAAAGCGUGGGUAGCAAACAGG
RNAcentral lists this ribosomal RNA (253 nucleotides) under uncultured bacterium. RNAcentral describes it as "partial 16S ribosomal RNA". It matches the Rfam family "Bacterial small subunit ribosomal RNA", at positions 524 to 776 of the family's 1533-position model. The record is from RNAcentral.